AUUAAUGUGAGAAUCAUUAACGCCGUAAACCCAAGGUUUCCUACGCGAUGCUCGUCAUCGUAGGGUUAGUCGGGUCCUAAGCUGAGUCCGAAAGGGGUAAGCGAUGGCAAAUAGGUUAAUAUUCCUAUACCAACAUUAGUGUGCGAUGGAAGGACGCUUAGGGCUAAGGGGGCUAGCGGAUGGAAGUGCUAGUCUAAGGUCGUAGGAGGUUAUACAGGCAAAUCCGUAUAACAAUACUCCGAGAACUGAAAGGCUUUUUGAAGUCUUCGGAUGGAAAGAAGAACCCCUGAUGCCGUCGAGCCAAGAAAAGUUUCUAAGUUUAGCUAAUGUUGCCCGUACCGUAAACCGACACAGGUGGGUGGGAUGAGUAUUCUAAGGCGCGUGGAAGAACUCUCUUUAAGGAACUCUGCAAAAUAGCACCGUAUCUUCGGUAUAAGGUGUGCCUCCCUUUGUAUUAGAAUUCACUUCGAAAGCAAAGAAGGUUACAACAAAGAGUCCCUCCCGACUGUUUACCAAAAACACAGCACUCUGCUAACUCGUAAGAGGAUGUAUAGGGUGUGACGCCUGCCCGGUGCUCGAAGGUUAAUUGAUGGGGUUAGCAUUAGCGAAGCUCUUGAUCGAAGCCCGAGUAAACGGCGGCCGUAACUAUAACGGUCCUAAGGUAGCGAAAUUCCUUGUCGGUUAAAUACCGACCUGCAUGAAUGGCGUAACGAGAUGGGAGCUGUCUCAAAGAGGGAUCCAGUGAAAUUGUAGUGGAGGUGAAAAUUCCUCCUACCCGCGGCAAGACGGAAAGACCCCGUGGACCUUUACUACAGCUUGACACUGCUAUUUGGAUAAGAAUGUGCAGGAUAGGUGGGAGGCUUUGAGUAUAUGACGCCAGUUGUAUAUGAGCCAUUGUUGAGAUACCACUCUUUCUUAUUUGGGUAGCUAACCAGCUUGAGUUAUCCUCAAGUGGGACAAUGUCUGGUGGGUAGUUUGACUGGGGCGGUCGCCUCCCAAAUAAUAACGGAGGCUUACAAAGGUUGGCUCAUAGCGGUUGGAAAUCGCUAGUAGAGUAUAAAGGUAUAAGCCAGCUUAACUGCAAGACAUACAAGUCAAGCAGAGACGAAAGUCGGUCUUAGUGAUCCGGUGGUUCUGUGUGGAAGGGCCAUCGCUCAAAGGAUAAAAGGUACCCCGGGGAUAACAGGCUGAUCUCCCCCAAGAGCUCACAUCGACGGGGAGGUUUGGCACCUCGAUGUCGGCUCAUCGCAUCCUGGGGCUGGAGCAGGUCCCAAGGGUAUGGCUGUUCGCCAUUUAAAGCGGUACGCGAGCUGGGUUCAGAACGUCGUGAGACAGUUCGGUCCCUAUCUGCCGUGGGCGUAAGAAGAUUGAAGAGAUUUGACCCUAGUACGAGAGGACCGGGUUGAACAAACCACUGGUGUAGCUGUUGUUCUGCCAAGAGCAUCGCAGCGUAGCUAAGUUUGGAAAGGAUAAACGCUGAAAGCAUCUAAGCGUGAAGCCAACUCUAAGAUGAAUCUUCUCUAAGCUCUCUAGAAGACUACUAGUUUGAUAGGCUGGGUGUGUAAUGGAUGAAAGUCCUUUAGCUGACCAGUACUAAUAGAGCGUUUGGCUUAUCUUAUAAAUA
RNAcentral lists this ribosomal RNA (1624 nucleotides) under Campylobacter upsaliensis. RNAcentral describes it as "partial 23S ribosomal RNA". It matches the Rfam family "Bacterial large subunit ribosomal RNA", at positions 1315 to 2925 of the family's 2925-position model. Lineage: Bacteria; Pseudomonadati; Campylobacterota; Epsilonproteobacteria; Campylobacterales; Campylobacteraceae. The record is from RNAcentral.